This 335-nucleotide unclassified non-coding RNA is filed under the name soil metagenome. Its description in RNAcentral is "partial contains 5.8S ribosomal RNA, internal transcribed spacer 2, and large subunit ribosomal RNA". The stretch from base 1 to 120 matches the Rfam family "5.8S ribosomal RNA", at positions 35 to 154 of the family's 154-position model. The record is from RNAcentral.
GAUGAAGAACGUAGCGAAAUGCGAUAAGCAAUGUGAAUUGCAGAAUUCAGUGAAUCAUCGAAUCUUUGAACGCACAUUGCGCCCGCCAGUAUUCUGGCGGGCAUGCCUGUUCGAGCGUCAUUUCAACCAUCAAGCCCCCGGCUUGUGUUGGGGACCUGCGGCUGCCGCAGGCCCUGAAAACCAGUGGCGGGCUCGCUAGUCACUCCGAGCGUAGUAAUACAUCUCGCUCAGGGCGUGCUGCGGGUUCCGGCCGUUAAAAAGCCUUAUUUACCCAAGGUUGACCUCGGAUCAGGUAGGAAGACCCGCUGAACUUAAGCAUAUCAAUAAGCGGAGGA